RNAcentral lists this ribosomal RNA (339 nucleotides) under Triticum aestivum (bread wheat). RNAcentral describes it as "partial small subunit ribosomal RNA". Lineage: Eukaryota; Viridiplantae; Streptophyta; Magnoliopsida; Poales; Poaceae. The record is from RNAcentral.
AUGAGCUUGUUUAAGGAAUUCAAGUAUGGACGUGGAGCAGCAGAUGGAUGGAUGUUAGCCAACACAAAAGUUGCACACGGCAGGUCUGAGAUCUUCCACUUGCUACUCGCUCUUGUCAAGACAUUAGGUGAUUAUAAGGCUGUCAUGGGUGAAGUGUUGGGGAAGCAUAACAAGGCUCUGGAGCAUCAAGUUCUUCCAAUUACUUCUGCAGAUGCCAAAGUAGUUCAGCCAGUUGCCCAAAAUAAGCAAGUCUACCUUAAGCAAGGCCAUUGUCCAUCUCCAGAGAAGCGCAAGGCCAUUGUCCAUCUCCAGAGAAGCGCAAGGCCAAUAGCCCACUAG